UGCGAAUGGCUCAUUAAAUCAGUUAUCGUUUAUUUGAUAGUACCUUACUACUUGGAUAACCGUGGUAAUUCUAGAGCUAAUACAUGCUAAAAAUCCCGACUUUUUGGAAGGGAUGUAUUUAUUAGAUAAAAGACCAAUGCUUCUUCGGAAGCUCUUUGGUGAUUCAUGAUAACUUUUCGAAUCGCAUGGCCUCGAGCCGGCGAUGGUUCAUUCAAAUUUCUGCCCUAUCAACUUUCGAUGGUAGGAUAGUGGCCUACCAUGGUUUCAACGGGUAACGGGGAAUUAGGGUUCGAUUCCGGAGAGGGAGCCUGAGAAACGGCUACCACAUCCAAGGAAGGCAGCAGGCACGCAAAUUACCCAAUCCCGACACGGGGAGGUAGUGACAAUAAAUAACAAUACAGGGCUUUUUAUGGUCUUGUGAUUGGAAUGAGUACAAUUUAAAUACCUUAACGAGGAACAAUUGGAGGGCAAGUCUGGUGAAAUGCUGACGCCAGAGAUAGUGGGGUCUUCGGUAAUCACUAGCUGAGGAUUAGGCCCGCUAGUCGAGUGUUCACUAAAUAAUGGGCGAACGCCGGCGAGGUAACCUGGAACGGGGAAGCCUAAGUUGCGUAAAGCAAUAUGGUGAUCCCGUGGCGAGUCGCAAGACCGUCGUAACGCGCGGAAAGGUACCGGCUAACUGGUAGUUAGCUCAAGGGACGUGCUAUUCCCACUCGAAAGAGUGUUUUCAACUGAAGCGCCCAUUACGCAAAAGUUGAUAAGAGUAAUUUGCUCGGUAGUGAAAGGCCAGCAGCCGCGGUAAUUCCAGCUCCAAUAGCGUAUAUUAAAGUUGUUGCAGUUAAAAAGCUCGUAGUUGAACCUUGGGCUUGGUCGGCCGGUCCGCCUCAUUGGUGUGCACUGACCCGACCGAGCCUUUCCUUCUGGAUCACUAUAGUGCUUUUUAUUAAGUGCUAUAGGGAGCCAGGACUUUUACUUUGAAAAAAUUAGAGUGUUCAAAGCAGGCAUACGCUCGAAUAUAUUAGCAUGGAAUAAUAGAAUAGGACGUACGGUUCUAUUUUGUUGGUUCUCUAGGACCGUCGUAAUGAUUAAUAGGGACAGUCGGGGGCAUCAGUAUUCAAUUGUCAGAGGUGAAAUUCUUGGAUUUAUUGAAGACUAACUACUGCGAAAGCAUUUGCCAAGGAUGUUUUCAUUAAUCAAGAACGAAAGUUAGGGGAUCGAAGACGAUCAGAUACCGUCGUAGUCUUAACCAUAAACUAUGCCGACUAGGGAUCGGGCGGUGUUCUUUUUUUGACCCGCUCGGCACCUUACGAGAAAUCAAAGUCU
RNAcentral lists this ribosomal RNA (1320 nucleotides) under Lipomyces doorenjongii. RNAcentral's name for it is "SSU rRNA". It matches the Rfam family "Eukaryotic small subunit ribosomal RNA", at positions 88 to 1106 of the family's 1831-position model. Lineage: Eukaryota; Fungi; Ascomycota; Lipomycetes; Lipomycetales; Lipomycetaceae. The record is from RNAcentral.